AUGGAGGCGCAGGCCACGGCGACGGUGAAGGAGGCGCUCGCGGCGCUGUACCACCACCCCGACGACACCAUCCGCACCGCUGCCGACCGCUGGCUGCAGAAGUUUCAGCACACGCUCGACGCGUGGCAGGUAGCUGACAGCUUACUUCAUGAUGAAAGCAGCAAUUUAGAGACUCUCAUGUUUUGUUCUCAGACUCUCAGAAGCAAGGUGCAAAGAGAUUUUGAGGAGUUACCGUCAGAAGCUUUUCGACCAUUGCAAGACUCUCUAUAUGGAUUGCUAAAGAAAUUUAACAAAGGACCACCAAAAGUUAGAACACAGAUUUGUAUUGCAAUUGCUGCUCUGGCUGUGCAUGUACCUGUGGAGGACUGGGGAGGUGGUGGCAUCGUGAACUGGCUAGGCGAUGAAAUGAAAUCUCAACAAGAGUUCAUUCCAAGUUUCCUUGAACUGCUUAUUAUCUUGCCACAGGAAACUUCUAGUUAUAAAAUAGCUGCUCGUCCUGAAAGGCGCAAUCAGUUUGAGAACGACCUUUGUUCAUCAGCUAAUGUUGCUCUUAGUCUAUUGACUGCUUGCUUGGGUUUUGACGAGCUGAAAGAACAGGUUUUGGAGGGUUUUGCUUCUUGGCUUCGUUUCUGUCAUGGGUAUGCUGCUUCUGCGAUUUUGAUAUAUUCUCUUUUAUUUUUUCUCAGAAUUACCGCAGCUACCCUUGCUUCACAUCCUUUGGUCCACAUGGCACUCUCUUCGUUGAACACAGAUCAAUUUCUGGAGGCAGCUGUAAAUGUUACCUCUGAGUUGAUACAUUUUACUGUAUCUCGAGAUUCUUGUGGCAUCACUGAACAGUUUCCGCUGAUCCAAAUUCUCAUCCCUCAUGUUAUGGGCCUCAAAGAGCAGCUGAAAGACUCAUCUAAGGAUGAAGAAGAUGUAAAAGCUAUUGCUCGUUUAUUUGCAGACAUGGGUGAUUCCUAUGUUGACUUGAUUGCAACAGGUUCAGGCGAUGCCAUGCAAAUAGUGAAUGCACUACUGGAAGUUACUUCCCAUUCAGAAUUUGACAUAUCCUCCAUGACGUUUAAUUUCUGGCACCAUCUUAAGCGUAAUCUAACUGGGAGGGAUUCGUAUACAUCGUGUGGAUCUGAGGUGUCGAUUGAAGCUGAAAGAAAUAGAAGAAUGCAACUAUUCCGUCCUCCGUUUGAAGUUCUUGUGUCUCUGGUUAGUUCCCGAGUUGAAUACCCUGAGGACUUUCACACUUUCUCGGAAGAAGACCGGAGGGAUUUCAGAUAUGCUAGAUAUGCGGUUAGUGACGUGCUACUUGAUGCAACUGAUGUCCUUGGAGGUGACUCGACGCUAAAAAUACUUUUCAUGAAGUUAAUUCAGGCAUGUGGAAGCGGUGCUGAACAGAACCAGAAUUGGCAACCAUUAGAGGCUGCCCUUUUCUGUAUACAAGCCAUUGCUAAAUCGGUUUCUAUUGAAGAGAAGGAAAUAUUACCACAGGUUAUGCCACUGCUUCCAAGGUUUCCUCACCAAGAACAGUUGCUACAGACAGUUUGUUCAACCAUUGGAGCAUUUUCAAAAUGGAUUGAUGCUGCCCCAGCUGAACUGCCCAUCCUACCACCUUUGGUUGAUAUUCUCAACAAGGGCAUGAGUACAUCAGAGGCUACAGCUGCAGCUGCUUCUGUGGCAUUUAAGUAUAUAUGUGAAGGCUGCAGGGGAAAGUUCUCGGGUUCAUUGGAUGGCCUUUUCCAGAUCUAUCAUGUUGCAAUAAGUGGAGUUGGUGGUUACAAAGUUUCUUCAGAGGACUCGUUGCAUUUGGUUGAAGCCUUAAGUGUGGUUAUCACGACGCUUCCGCAAGACCAUGCUAGAAGAGCCCUGGAGUUAAUCUGCAUGCCAAUAAUUAAUAGCUUGCAGGAAAUAAUCCAGCAAGGUGAAAGUGCUCUUCAACAAGUUCCUGCUCGGCAUUUAACCGUUCACAUAGACCGGUUGUCGACCAUUUUUAGCAAUGUGAAACUUCCAGAAGUAGUUGCUGAAGCUGUCAAUAGAUACUGGUCCACUCUGAAGAUUAUCUUUGAUCAUCGGGCAUGGGAUACACGGACCAUGGAGUCUCUAUGCCGAUCUUGCAAAUUUGCUGUAAGGACAUGUGGGAGGUCCAUGGGAAUCACCAUUGGUGCAAUGCUGCUAGAAAUCCAAACACUAUAUCAGCAACACAAUCAGUCUUGCUUCCUUUACUUAUCCAGUGAAGUUAUUAAGAUAUUUGGAUCUGAUCCAUCUUGUGCGAGCUAUCUUACAUGUCUGAUACAGACACUCUUUAAUCAUACAAUACAACUGCUCAGAACUAUUCAAGAUUUUACAGCUAGACCCGACAUAGCUGAUGAUUGCUUUCUGCUUGCGUCAAGAUGUAUUCGUUACUGUCCUGAUCUAUUUGUACCUACAGAGAUUUUUCCAAGAUUAGUUGAUUGUGCAAUGGCUGGUGUAACUAUACAACAUAGGGAGGCCUGCAAAUCCAUACUGUGUUUCCUAUCUGACACCUUUGAUCUUGCGAAAUCACCCGAGGGGGAAAAGUACCGGGAUCUAAUAAACACAAUUGUACUCCUGCGAGGUGCAACACUUGCAAGAAUAAUGAUUGCUUCCUUAACAGGGGCGCUACCGUCUGGUCGCUUGGAGGAGGUCUCUUAUGUUCUGCUGUCCCUUAGCAGAGCUUUUGGUGGGAAUAUGUUGAAUUGGACAAGGGAUUGCAUUGCCCUUAUACCCCCACAAGCCCUAACAGAUUCAGAACGCUCAAGAUUCUUGACAAUUAUAUCCGAUGCAUCAUCGGGAUCUAGUCUUGGUUCGUUGACGGAUAGAUUCGCUGAAAUAUCAGAGGUUUGCAGACGAAACAAAGCGGUGCAGGAUAUAGUUCAAGCUGCUUUGCAGCCUCAUGACUUGGCCUUCACGGUUGCUCCGCGGCAUUCAUGA
This 2943-nucleotide ribosomal RNA is filed under the name Triticum aestivum (bread wheat). RNAcentral's name for it is "partial small subunit ribosomal RNA". The record is from RNAcentral. Lineage: Eukaryota; Viridiplantae; Streptophyta; Magnoliopsida; Poales; Poaceae.